UGGGGAAUAUUGCACAAUGGGCGGAAGCCUGAUGCAGCGACGCCGCGUGGGGGAUGAAGGCCUUCGGGUUGUAAACUCCUUUCGACAGGGACGAAGCUUUUGUGACGGUACCUGUAUAAGAAGCACCGGCUAACUACGUGCCAGCAGCCGCGGUAAUACGUAGGGUGCGAGCGUUGUCCGGAAUUACUGGGCGUAAAGAGCUCGUAGGUGGUUUGUCGCGUCGUCUGUGAAAUUCCGGGGCUUAACUCCGGGCGUGCAGGCGAUACGGGCUGACUUGAGUGCUGUAGGGGAGACUGGAAUUCCUGGUGUAGCGGUGAAAUGCGCAGAGAUAUGGAGGAACACCAGUGGCGAAGGCGACUUUCUGGUCUGUAACUGACGCUGAUGUGCGAAAGCGUGGGGAUCAAACAGG
Molecule: ribosomal RNA, 409 nt
Filed under: Actinomycetes bacterium
Lineage: Bacteria; Bacillati; Actinomycetota; Actinomycetes
Description: Actinobacteria bacterium partial 16S ribosomal RNA
Rfam family: Bacterial small subunit ribosomal RNA
Source: RNAcentral